This 360-nucleotide ribosomal RNA is filed under the name uncultured bacterium. Its description in RNAcentral is "bacterial SSU rRNA". It matches the Rfam family "Bacterial small subunit ribosomal RNA", at positions 29 to 414 of the family's 1533-position model. The record is from RNAcentral.
AACGAACGCUGGCGGCAUGCCUAACACAUGCAAGUCGAGCGCCCGUAGCAAUACGGGAGCGGCGCACGGGUGAGUAACGCGUGGGAACCUGCCCAGAGGUCUGGGACAACCGCGGGAAACUGCGGCUGAUACCGGAUGAUUCCUGAGGGACAAAGAUUUAUCGCCUUUGGAGGGGCCCGCGUCGGAUUAGGUAGUUGGUGGGGUAACGGCUCACCAAGCCUAUGAUCCGUAACUGGUCUGAGAGGAUGACCAGUCACACUGGGACUGAGACACGGCCCAGACUCCUACGGGAGGCAGCAGUGGGGAGUAUUGGACAAUGGGGGCGAACCCUGAUCAGCAAUGCCGCGUGGGUGAUGAAGG